This 70-nucleotide transfer RNA is filed under the name Acropyga fuhrmanni. RNAcentral describes it as "tRNA-Asn". Lineage: Eukaryota; Metazoa; Arthropoda; Insecta; Hymenoptera; Formicidae. The record is from RNAcentral.
UUAAUUGAAACCAAAUUAUGGUAUGUUAUUGUUAAUAACUUUUUAGAAUUAACUUUAAAUUCCAAUUAAU